RNAcentral lists this ribosomal RNA (441 nucleotides) under uncultured bacterium. RNAcentral's name for it is "partial 16S ribosomal RNA". It matches the Rfam family "Bacterial small subunit ribosomal RNA", at positions 338 to 795 of the family's 1533-position model. The record is from RNAcentral.
CCUACGGGGUGCAGCAGUGGGGAAUAUUGCACAAUGGGGGAAACCCUGAUGCAGCGACGCCGCGUGAGUGAAGAAGGAUUUCGGUAUGUAAAGCUCUAUCAGCAGGGAAGAAGAAAGACGGUACCUGACUAAGAAGCCCCGGCUAACGACGUGCCAGCAGCCGCGGUAAUACGUAGGGGGCAAGCGUUAUCCGGAUUUACUGGGUGGAAAGGGAGCGUAGACGGCUGUGCAAGUCUGAAGUGAAAGCCCAGGGCUCAACCCUGGGACUGCGUUCGAAACUGUGGAGCUUGAGUGCUGGAGAGGUAAGUGGAAUUCCUAGUGUAGCGGUGAAAUGCGUAGAUAUUAGGAGGAACACCAGUGGCGAAGGCGGCUUACUGGACAGUAACUGACGUUGAGGCUCGAAAGCGUGGGGAGCAAACAGGAUUAGAUACCCCAUUAGUC